RNAcentral lists this ribosomal RNA (253 nucleotides) under uncultured bacterium. RNAcentral's name for it is "partial 16S ribosomal RNA". It matches the Rfam family "Bacterial small subunit ribosomal RNA", at positions 524 to 776 of the family's 1533-position model. The record is from RNAcentral.
UACAGAGGUGCCGAGCGUUAGGCGGAAUCACUGGGCUUAAAGCGUGUGUAGGCAGAUGCCUAAGUACCUUGUGAAAUCCCACGGCUUAACCGUGGAACUGCUCGGUAUACUGGGUGUCUUGAGCCACUUAGGGGUUACCGGAACAAAUGGUGGAGCGGUGAAAUGCGUAGAUAUCAUUUGGAACGCCAAUGGUGAAAACAGGUAACUGGGAGUGUGCUGACGCUGAGACACGAAAGCCAGGGGAGCGAACGGG